Molecule: ribosomal RNA, 429 nt
Filed under: Bacillota bacterium
Lineage: Bacteria; Bacillati; Bacillota
Description: Firmicutes bacterium partial 16S ribosomal RNA
Rfam family: Bacterial small subunit ribosomal RNA
Source: RNAcentral
UGGGGAAUUUUGGACAAUGGGGGCAACCCUGAUCCAGCAAUGCCGCGUGUGUGAAGAAGGCCUUCGGGUUGUAAAGCACUUUUGUCCGGGAAGAAAUCGCACCUGAUAAUACCGGGUGUGGAUGACGGUACCGGAAGAAUAAGGACCGGCUAACUACGUGCCAGCAGCCGCGGUAAUACGUAGGGUCCAAGCGUUAAUCGGAAUUACUGGGCGUAAAGCGUGCGCAGGCGGUUGUGCAAGACCGAUGUGAAAUCCCCGGGCUUAACCUGGGAAUUGCAUUGGUGACUGCAUGGCUAGAGUGUGUCAGAGGGGGGUAGAAUUCCACGUGUAGCAGUGAAAUGCGUAGAGAUGUGGAGGAAUACCGAUGGCGAAGGCAGCCCCCUGGGAUAACACUGACGCUCAUGCACGAAAGCGUGGGGAGCAAACAGG